GGAGAGAUGCCCGAGAGGCCGAAGGGGCACGAUUGGAAAUCGUGUAUUCCGCUUAUAACGGGAUCGAGGGUUCGGCGCCCCCGAAGGGGAAGGCGGAGGGAGCGAAGCGAGUGAGCACAUCCCUCUCUCUCGG
Molecule: transfer RNA, 133 nt
Filed under: Syntrophaceae bacterium
Lineage: Bacteria; Pseudomonadati; Thermodesulfobacteriota; Syntrophia; Syntrophales; Syntrophaceae
Description: tRNA-Ser
Source: RNAcentral